CCGAAAGGUGACCGACCUUCGGGAGCUUGCACAGGUGCUGCAUGGCUGUCGUCAGCUCGUGUCGUGAGAUGUUCGGUUAAGUCCGCUAACGAGCGCAACCCUCGCUGUGUGUUAUAUGUGUCACACGGGACUGCCGGUCUUAAGCCGGAGGAAGGUGGGGAUGAUGUCAAGUCAGCAUGGCCUUUAUAUCCUGGGAUACACACACGCUACAAUGGCCAACACAAUAGGUUGCUAAGCCGCGAGGUGGCGCCAAUCCAUAAAGUUGGUCUCAGUUCAGAUUGUAGGCUGCAACCCGCCUGCAUGAAGAUGGAGUUGCUAGUAACCGCAGGUCAGCUAUACUGCGGUGAAUACGUUCCCGGGGCUU
RNAcentral lists this ribosomal RNA (364 nucleotides) under uncultured Leptolinea sp. Its description in RNAcentral is "bacterial SSU rRNA". It matches the Rfam family "Bacterial small subunit ribosomal RNA", at positions 1001 to 1382 of the family's 1533-position model. The record is from RNAcentral. Lineage: Bacteria; Bacillati; Chloroflexota; Anaerolineae; Anaerolineales; Anaerolineaceae.